Odocoileus virginianus texanus is the source of this 2028-nucleotide non-coding RNA. NCBI's taxonomy places the organism in Eukaryota, Metazoa, Chordata, Mammalia, Artiodactyla, Cervidae. The record is from RefSeq and is a predicted model, not a curated record.
UCUCCUCCAAGAUGGAGAGCGGCUGCAGUGGGGGGGUUUCGGUGCCUGCGCUUUGGAGUGAAGUGAACCGUUAUGGCCAGAACGGUGACUUCACGCGCGCUCUCAAAACCGUCAACAAGAUACUGCAGAUCAACAAAGAUGACGUUACUGCCCUGCACUGUAAAGUGGUUUGCCUUAUCCAGAACGGAAGUUUCAAGGAAGCCUUGAAUGUCAUCAACACUCACACCAGAGUGUUUGCCAAUAACUCUCUUUCCUUUGAGAAGGCAUACUGUGAGUACAGGCUGAACAGAAUUGAGAAUGCCUUGAAGACAAUAGAAGGCGCCAACCAGCAGACAGACAAACUAAAGGAGCUUUAUGGACAAGUGUUAUACCGGUUAGAACGCUAUGAUGAAUGCCUGGCUGUAUAUAGAGAUCUUGUCCGAAACUCCCAAGAUGAUUAUGAUGAGGAGAGAAAAACAAAUCUUUCAGCCGUUGUUGUAGCUCAAAGUAACUGGGAAAAAGUGGUUCCAGAGAACUUGGGUCUGCAAGAAGGCACGCACGAGCUGUGCUACAAUACUGCGUGUGCUCUCAUAGGACAAGGCCAGCUGAGCCAGGCAAUGAGAAUUCUGCAAAACGCUGAAGAUCUCUGCCGCCGUUCAUUUUCAGAAGACUCUGAUGGGAUUGAAGAAGACCCCCAGGCAGAACUGGCCAUCAUUCAUGGGCAGAUGGCCUAUAUUCUGCAGCUUCAGGGUCGUACAGAGGAGGCUUUGCAAGUUUACAACCAGAUAAUAAAAUUAAAACCAACAGAUGUGGCAUUGCUAGCCGUGAUUGCAAAUAACAUCAUUACAAUUAACAAGGACCAAAAUGUCUUUGACUCCAAGAAGAAGGUGAAGUUAACCAAUGCAGAAGGAGUGGAGUUUAAGCUUUCUAAGAAACAACUGCAAGCUAUAGAAUUUAACAAAGCUUUACUUGCUAUGUACACAAAUCAGGCAGAACAGUGUCGCAAAAUAUCUGCCAGCUUACAGUCACAGAGUCCUGAGCGUCUCCUUCCUGUGCUAAUCCAAGCUGCCCAGCUCUGCCGUGAGAAGCAGCACACGAAAGCAAUAGAGCUGCUGCAGGACUAUUCAGAUCAGCAUCCAGAAAAUGCUGCUGAAAUUAAGCUGACGAUGGCACAGCUGAAAAUUUCCCAAGGUAAUAUUUCCAAAGCAUGUUUGAUAUUGAGAAGCAUAGAGGAAUUAAAGCAUAAACCAGGCAUGGUGUCUGCAUUAGUGACAAUGUACAGCCAUGAGGAGGAUACUGACGGUGCCAUCGAAGUCUUUACACAGGCCAUCCAGUGGUAUCAAAGCCAUUAGCCCAAAUCUACUGCUCAUUUGUCCUUGAUAAGGGAAGCUGCAAACUUCAAACUCAAAUAUGGGCGGAAGAAGGAGGCAAUUAGUGACCUAGAACAGCUAUGGAAACAAAAUCCCAAAGAUAUUCACACCCUGGCGCAGCUUAUUUCUGCUUACUCACUUGUAGAUCCUGAGAAGGCAAAAGCUCUUAGUAAACACUUGCCCUCAUCGGAUAGUAUGUCUCUAAAAGUAGAUGUUGAGGCUCUUGAAAAUUCUCCUGGUGCUACGUAUGUUCGGAAGAAGGGUGGAAAAGUUGCUGGAGACAGUCAACCAAAGGAGCAAGGACAGGGAGAUUUGAAAAAAAAAGAAGAAAAAAAAGAAGGGAAAACUGCCUAAGAAUUAUGACCCAAAAGUGACCCCAGAUCCAGAAAGAUGGUUACCAAUGCGUGAACAUUUCUACUACCGAGGAAGGAAGAAGGGUAAAAAGAAGGAUCAGAUUGGAAAAGGGACCCAGGGAGCAACUGCAGGAGGUUCCUCUGAACUGGAUGCCAGUAAAACUGUGAGCAGCCCACCCACCUCGCCAAGACCUGGCAGUGGAGCCACAGCGUCCACAUCUACAAGUAACAUCAUACUCCCAAGACACCAGAAACCCGCUGGGGCUCCAGCAACAAAAAAGAAACAGCAACAGAAAAAGAAGAAAGGUGGAAAAGGUGGCUGGUGA